This 253-nucleotide ribosomal RNA is filed under the name uncultured bacterium. RNAcentral's name for it is "partial 16S ribosomal RNA". It matches the Rfam family "Bacterial small subunit ribosomal RNA", at positions 524 to 776 of the family's 1533-position model. The record is from RNAcentral.
UACGUAGGGUCCGAGCGUUGUCCGGAAUUAUUGGGCGUAAAGGGCUCGUAGGCGGUCCGUCACGUCGGGAGUGAAAACUCAGGGCUCAACCCUGAGCCUGCAUCCAAAACUGGCGGGCUAGAGUUCUGGAGGGGGUAGCGGAAUUCCUGGUGUAGCGGUGAAAUGCGUAGAUAUCAGGAGGAACACCGGUGGCGAAGGCGGCUACCUGGACAGAAACUGACGCUGAGGCACGAAAGCUAGGGGAGCAAACAGG